ACUCAAGUUCUCGUGAAUGCUUGGGCCAUUGGAAGAGACCCAAAGUCAUGGGAAAAGCCACUGGAGUUUAUGCCUGAAAGAUUCAUCAAAUCAAGUGUGGAUUACAAAGGUAGGAACUUUGAAUUUAUACCAUUUGGUGCUGGCAGGAGAAUUUGUCCCGGAAUGUCACUUGCUAUAAGGAUGGUGAAUUUGAUGUUGGCUUCUAUUAUUCAACCACUUAAUAAUUGUUCAGUAGCAAGACUGUAAAGUGGAAGAUAUAAUAAGCAGAGUUAUUGUUCAGUAUGGAAGAAACGAGUUCGCCCUAACAGCAAAAUUCACCUGUUUGCAGAAAAAAGCAACAUUAAGUACUAGUAUUGACGAACUUGCCCUCCAUUAUCCAACUAUAGCUCAGCAGGAAUCUGGUGAGUGAAGCAAAGUUGAGACUUAUGCUAGUUUCUUUAGAUUCAUUUAGGCUUUACAUUCACCAUCUUAAGAUACUAUAGAAGCAUCUCAUAUACGUCUGUUUAUUAUUCUACAGUUCUUCUAUCUUCCGAAAUUUAUUCGAAUAAAAGGGCAGCCCGGUGCACAAAGCAUCCCGUAUUCAUGCAGGGUCACGGAAAGGGACACACCUUAAGGGUGUGAUGUAGACAGUCUACCCUAAUGCAAGCAUUAGCGGUUGUUUCCACGGCUCGAACCUGUGACCUAUAGCUCACGCGGAGACAACUUUACCGUUGCUCCAAAGCUCACCUUCAAUACCUUAAAAUUUUGUAGCUUACCGUAGAGGAAGAUAAUAACUAAAAUUAUAUUCUUUAAGCAACUUAUAACCCAGAGAACUGCAUAAAUUGGGAAUAUGUUCUAAAUUGUUGUUACUUGUAUUUAAGUCCUUGCCUAUUGUACCCUUCAGAAAUCUCUUCUUCUCUAUUCGCAGUACUGUAUUGAUGAAAGAACUUAAUUAGUAGUCAUCAUUGUACCAUCACCUAGGCAUAGAGCAGAAACAUCAAGUAUCAAAUUGUUCAGACAAAGAGUUAGUUCUUCAUUUAGAAUUUUUUUGUACAACUGCUCAUCAUAUUUCUAUUUGGUACAUUUCAUUAGCGACGUUUAAUGGUUCUGACUUCUGAGUUGUUUGUUAAUAGACUAAGCACCAAUCUUUAUCACGCAAUGCAAUAACAGCCCCUAAGAUACUCCAUUUUUAUGCGCACUAUCUAACAUCGCCAACUCUCGCCACCGCACCUCAGCCCAAGAUACCUCCAAAAAACAAAGAAGCCAUUGACGUAGACAGAACAACACCAACCAAUACCAGUUGUACUACACAAAUAAACUCAAAAUUCAGUCACUACGUAUAUUAUACAGCAGAUUAAGGAAUAACAUGUCAGAGGCAUUUAGGCUUGGGAUAAAAUAGAAUUAAUUGUCAGAUAAAAAGAAGUAACUUGUAAAUUUUUAAGAUAAUUCAUGGUUCUAUCAUAUGAAAGAAUUUUUUUUCCAGUUCCGACGGGGAAAAGUGGCUUCCACCUAGAAAGCAAGUAGUUGCUUACUGUGUUUCACUGUUCACAAGCAGCCAAGAAAUAUUGCAGAAGUGAAAUCGACUUACCCUAACCAAGACUUGCGCAAAUUCUGCGAAAUCAUUUGUAAAGUUGUUGAAAUCAUCAUUCUCGCUAACUGUAUAAACCACUGAAAAAGGAUUUGAAUUUGAGAUGUGAGCACAUACAGUCAUAUAUGGAGUCACAAUUUCAAAUUAGGGCAUUUGGGUCGAUAACACAUGGGUCAUAAUUUGUGAUUUGAGCGGAGAGAAAAUGGAGUGGGGGAAAUUUCUGGAGAGAUAUGAGCAAAGAGAAGAACCCAUAA
RNAcentral lists this long non-coding RNA (1821 nucleotides) under Nicotiana tabacum (common tobacco). RNAcentral describes it as "long non-coding RNA (NTAB_LNC005224)". Lineage: Eukaryota; Viridiplantae; Streptophyta; Magnoliopsida; Solanales; Solanaceae. The record is from RNAcentral.